GUGUUAGACCAAAUGGGGACGGG
RNAcentral lists this non-coding RNA (23 nucleotides) under Cricetulus griseus (Chinese hamster). Lineage: Eukaryota; Metazoa; Chordata; Mammalia; Rodentia; Cricetidae. The record is from RNAcentral.